GCAAGGUUGUAUGAAUUAGAACAAGUAGUGAUGAUGUGCUACUUCUUUCUUCUCUUUCUUUUCCUCUCUAAUAUUUCACUUACUGUGAAUUUCCAACAACAUCAUCAUCAUGUAGUGUGUGAUCCUAAUCAAAGCUUGGCAUUACUUCAAUUCAAGAAUGUUUUUUCCUUGGAUACACCAAGUUCUUGGAGUGAGUACUCGUAUCCACGAACUUCCACAUGGAAUGAGACCACAGAUUGCUGUUCAUGGGAUUGUGUGGAGUGUGAUGACAAAGGAGAAGGCCAUGUUGUUGGUCUUCAUCUUGGCUGCAGUUUUCUCAAUGGAACUCUUCAUCCCAACGACACCCUUUUCACCCUCUCCCACCUCCAAACCUUGAAUCUCUCUUACAAUGAUUUUUCAGAAUCUUCAGUUUCACCUCAAUUUGGAACGCUUACGAACUUGAGGAUUUUGGAUCUUUCCGGGUCUCACUUUAAAGGGGAGGUUCCCUUGCAAAUAUCCCACUUGUCUAAAUUGGUUUCCCUUCGUCUUUCUCAUGGUUAUAUUCUCAGUUUUUCAAAUGUGGUUAUGAGUCAACUUGUUCCUAACCUAACCAAUCCAAGGGAUCUUCGACUUACUGAAGUAAAUCUUUAUGACCUCAGUCCCACUCAUUCCUCAACUUCUCUCUCUCUUUACACUCUCUUGAUUUUUCUUCAUGUGACUUGUCCAGGAAUUUUCCAGACCAAAUUUUCAGUCUUCCAAAUUUACAUGUGUUAAUACUUGAAGAUAACUUAUAUGGGUUGAAUGGACAUCUACCCAUUUCUAAUUGGAGUAAAUCCCUUCAAAUUUUGGAUCUUUCAUCAACUAAAUUUUCAGGAGGGAUUCCCACCUCCAUUGGUGAAGCCAAGGCAUUGAGGUACUUAGACCUUAGUUAUUGUAAGUUUAAUGGUGAAAUUCCUAAUUUCGAAAGUCAUUAUAAUCCUAUGAUCAUGGGUCAAUUAGUCCCCAACUGUGUCCUGAAUCUCACCCAAACACCUUCUUCAUCUGCAUCAUUUUCAAGUCCUCUUCUUCCUCGAAAUUUUUGUUCAAUAGGACUUUCAAAUCUUAUUCAUUUGGACUUGACACGUAACUCAUUCACGGGUGUUAUACUCUCUUGGCUAUAUUCCUUGCCUAACUUAAAAUAUUUGGAUCUCUCUAAAAACCAAUUCUUUGGUUUUACGAGGGAUUUUAAAUCCAACUCAUUAGAGCUUCUCGAUUUAAGUAAUAAUAAUUUGGAAGGUGAAAUUUCAAAGUCUAUUUAAUAGGCAACUCAAUCUUACAUAUUUAGGACUGGAGUCCAAUAAUUUGAGUGGGGUUUUGAAUUUCGACAUGCUGUCAAGAGUCCCAAGUCUAUCAUGGCUUUACAUUUCCAAUAAUAUACCCAACUUUCAAUUUUCUCAACUACAGUUACUCCUGCAUAUCUUCUUGACAUAGGAAUAGGUUCCAUCAAAUUAGAAAAAAUCCCUUACUUCUUGAGAAAUCAAAACAACUUGCAGUACCUAAACCUUUCAAAUAAUUAAAUUGUAGGAAAGGUUCCUGAAUGGUUUUCUGAAUUGGGUGGUUUGAUUCAACUAGAUCUGUCUCAUAAUUUUUUGUCCUUAGGAAUAGAGCUGCUACUUGCUUUGCCUAAUCUGAAGAGAGUCUCUCUUGAUUUUUAACUUGUUUAAAUGCUACCCGUUCCAAUGUUGUGCUACCAUCAUUUAUGGAAGAACUUAGUGUUUCAAAUAAUAAGGUUAGUGGAAAUAUCCAUCCUUCAAUCUUCCAAGCCAACAAACUUACCUGAAUUUGUCCAAUAAUAGCUUGAGUGGUGCAGUUCCAUCUUGCCUCUCCAACAUGACUAAUUUACGAGUUCUUAUAUUGAAAAUGAACAAAUUUUCUGGGGUUAUGUCCAUACCACCAACUAUUGGAUAAUAUAUUGCAUCAGAAAAUCAGUUCAUUGGAGAAAUCCCUCUUUCAAUUGCCUUUCACUUGACCUCGUCGUACUCAGUCUGCCAAAUAAUCACAUGAAUGGAACAAUUCCAUCAUGUCUCACAAACGUCCUCACUUCUCUUUCAGUAUUGAAUUUAAAAAAUAACAAUUUUAGUGGUACAAUUCCAACAUUUCCUUCAACCGGAUGUCAAUUGAGCAGCCUUGAUUUGAAUGACAACAAAAUAGAAGGAGAAUUGCCAGAGUCAUUGUUGAACUGCGAAUAUCUUGAAGUUUUGGAUAUUGGGAAUAACAACAUAACAGGUUAUGUAAUUCUCACUUAAACCCAUAACCAUAAAUAUAUUCAUGCCUCACUUAUAUUUCAUCUCUUUUAUUUAUUAUUUCAAUUAUUUAUUAAUUAAGUAUUACACCCAGCUUUGACUAUAUAGCUUUUCUCUCUUAUAUAAUUUAAAUGGAGAUAUCGAUAACAAUAAAUCCGAAAUUUUAUUCCUAUUCUAUUCUGACAGGCUAAUUUUCAUAUUGGUUAAAAACUGCUUCAAGUUUGCGAGUUCUCAUCCUUCCAUCCAAUCAAUUUUAUGUUCUUAUCAACAAUUCUUUCAAUAAAGAUUCUUUCUCAAACCUACAAAUUAUUGAUCUUUCUCACAACUAUUUCAGAGCCAUCAAGGAAGGGGAAAUCCAACCCAACUCUUUUCUUAAAAAUAUGUACUACUAUCAAGAUUCAAUUGUGAUAUCAUUCAAAGGGUUAGAACAAAAAUUGGAAAGAAACAUUUUGAUUUUUAAAACUAUUGAUCUGUCAAGUAAUUAUAAUGGUUUUAAUGGAGAGAUACCAAAGGAAAUUGGAAGUUGAGGUCUCUAGUAGGUUUGAACCUUUCACUCAAUGAGCUUACAGGUGGAAUUCCUACAUCACUUGGCAAUUUGAACAAUUUGGAAUGGUUGGAUCUUUUUUUCAAAUCAAUUGAGUGGUAACAUUCCUCCUCAGUUGGUUGGUCUUACAUCUCAGUCCUAUCUCUCACAAAAUCAUCUUUUAGGACCAAUUCCUAAAGGCAAACAAUUUGAUACUUUUGAGAAUUCUUCCUACUUUGAUAAUCUUGGACUUUGUGGGAAUCCUCUACCAAAAUGUGAUGUGGAUCUAAAUGACCAUAUAAAUCUCAACUGCUACAUGAAGUUGAAGAAGACAGUUUGGAAAAAGGAAUUUGGGUGAAAGCUGUGUUCAUGGGAUAUGUAUGUGGGAUUGUAUUUGGAAUAUUUAUUGGAUAUCCUGUUUUUCAUUAUGGGAAACCUGUGUGGAUUGUGGCAAUUGUGGAAGCCAAAAGAGCUCAAAAGAUCCAAACAUCUAGGAGAGGAGUUACAGGCCUAGGAUAAGAAAUAACUAGGAGGGGUCUGAUUGUGGCUGAGAAAAGUUCAAAUCCGUAAUCCAAUUGACUGUUUAUGAAGACAACUCAUUACAAUGGUUACUACGUGGAGUACAAAAGCCAAUCUAAUACACAGCAGAUACAACACCUUCUCGUGUUUUGGGUUCGCAGCUAUCUUGUUUGUACAAUAUUCACUUUUUUUUUAGCAUAAUUAUCUCCAGCUCAAUGACUCCUUUGUAAACGUUCCUUGGUACUGUAUGAUACUUUUGGCUUAGGUAGGGAGUGACGAGGGUGAUAAAAGUAUCUAUGUUUACUUAGCUGAGAUAUUCGAAUGCAGCUUGUCAUCGUUAUAUUUCUCUUAUUUGUUACUUUUCAAAAAAUAAAAUUCUCAAAAUAUCAAAA
This is a long non-coding RNA of Cucumis melo (muskmelon), 3695 nucleotides long. RefSeq lists it as uncharacterized. The record is from RefSeq and is a predicted model, not a curated record. The transcript has 2 exons. NCBI's taxonomy places the organism in Eukaryota, Viridiplantae, Streptophyta, Magnoliopsida, Cucurbitales, Cucurbitaceae.